Molecule: unclassified non-coding RNA, 343 nt
Filed under: soil metagenome
Description: partial contains 5.8S ribosomal RNA, internal transcribed spacer 2, and large subunit ribosomal RNA
Rfam family: 5.8S ribosomal RNA (bases 1-120)
Source: RNAcentral
GAUGAAGAACGUAGCGAAAUGCGAUAAGUAGUGUGAAUUGCAGAAUUCAGUGAAUCAUCGAAUCUUUGAACGCACAUUGCGCCCUUUGGUAUUCCUUAGGGCAAGCCUGUUCGAGCGUCAUUUGACCCCUCAAGCUCUGCUUGGUGAUGGGCGCCUUGUCGACCCCGCGGUUUCCGCAGGCGACUCGCCUCAAAUCCAUUGGCGGCCCCCGCAUGGCCACGAGCGCAGCAGAAACGCAAACUCGUGCGCCGGACCGGGCGGCUCCCAGAAGCUACACCCACCAUUUUGACCUCGGAUCAGGUAGGGAUACCCGCUGAACUUAAGCAUAUCAAUAAGCGGAGGA